This 468-nucleotide ribosomal RNA is filed under the name uncultured bacterium. RNAcentral describes it as "partial 16S ribosomal RNA". It matches the Rfam family "Bacterial small subunit ribosomal RNA", at positions 28 to 507 of the family's 1533-position model. The record is from RNAcentral.
GACGAACGCUGGCGGCGUGCUUAACACAUGCAAGUCGAACGGAAAGGCCCUGCUUUUGUGGGGUGCUCGAGUGGCGAACGGGUGAGUAACACGUGAGUAACCUGUCCUUGACUUUGUGAUAACUUCAGGAAACUGGGGCUAAUACCGGAUAGGAGCUCCUGCUGCACGGUGGGGGUUGGAAAGUUUCGGCGUUUGGGGAUGGACUCGCGGCUUAUCAGCUUGUUGGUGGGGUAGUGGCUUACCAAGGCUUUGACGGGUAGCCGGCCUGAGAGGGUGACCGGCCACAUGGGGACUGAGAGACGGCCCAGACUCCUACGGGAGGCAGCAGUGGGGAAUAUGGCACAAUGGGCGGAAGCCUGAUGCAGCAACGCCGCGUUCGGGAUGACGGCCUUCGGGUUGUAAACCGCUGUCGCCUGUGACGAAGCGUGAGUGACGGUAAUGGGUAAAGAAGCACCGGCUAACUACGUG